GACGAACGCUGGCGGCGUGCUUAACACAUGCAAGUCGAACGGAAAGGCCCCUUUCGGGGUACUCGCGUGGCGCACGCGGGUGUAACACGCGUGUAACCUGGCCUUGACUUCGGGAUAAGUUCAGCGAAAGGGGGCUAAUACCGGAAAGGAAUCCUUGCUGCAUGGUGGGGGUUGGAAAGCCUCGGCGGUUUUGGAUGGGCUCGCGGCUUAUCAGCUUGUUGGUGGGGUAGUGGCUUACCAAGGCGUCGACGGGUAGCCGGCCUGAGAGGGCGACCGGCCACAUUGGGACUGAGGUGCGGCCCAGACUCCGACGGGAGGCAGCAGGGGGGAAUAUUGCACAAGGGGCGGAAGGCUGAUGCAGCAACGCCGCGGGCGGGAUGGCGGCCUUCGGGUUGUAAACCGCUUUCAGCAGGGGCGAAGCUUGUGGUGACGGUACCUGCAGAAGAAGCACCGGCUAACUACGUG
RNAcentral lists this ribosomal RNA (465 nucleotides) under uncultured bacterium. Its description in RNAcentral is "partial 16S ribosomal RNA". It matches the Rfam family "Bacterial small subunit ribosomal RNA", at positions 28 to 507 of the family's 1533-position model. The record is from RNAcentral.